CCGUAGCGAGGAGCAAUCUCAUAACCCAUGAUUGCGGACUUGUUUCGAUAAAAGAUAAAUGAAUGCAGCCAACAGUGUCCUCAUAAGCUGACGGUGUUGCAGCUUCCGGUGACAGAACUUGGAUGAAGGGGUCAUGGAAAAAAACAAUGACAGCAUCACAAAAAUAUGGGUAUGCCUUAAUCCCACAAUCCCCUUGCGUAUUGGGUCAGCAUUGCAGGAGAGCAUUGGGCAAGAGGAAGAGGCUCCAUGACGGUUAUUGUUCCACAUGAGAGGGGUGGAGUGGGGCAUCCAAGCUCCACCUGGGAGAACACAAGGAAGUGAUCGACAAGAGGACGGAGGAAUGCCCAAGUAUGUGCGACCGCCACCGGCUGCAGUAAUGCAACACCAAUAGGCUGGACAAGCUUGGGCUUGGCUUCAAAGCUCGGAAUGCUGAAGUGUUUACAACAGAUGUCGCAUACAAAUUGCUUCAUUAGUCUGUUGCAUUGUCUCUUCCGAUCUAGUCAUUGUAUCAACCAGCUGCAA
Molecule: long non-coding RNA, 522 nt
Organism: Clupea harengus (Atlantic herring)
Lineage: Eukaryota; Metazoa; Chordata; Actinopteri; Clupeiformes; Clupeidae
Exons: 4
Source: RefSeq, a predicted model, not a curated record